AAUAACUGUGUUUACUUUUUUAUAUUGAUAUCAGUUGUGAUUUGCAAGUAUUUGAAGAUUUGGAAAAGCACAGUAUCGAUUAGGCUUACUUAUUGUUUCGUGUAUCAACUAAAUUUUACCCUCGAAGUCACCACUGCGCAGAAG
Molecule: long non-coding RNA, 144 nt
Filed under: Polistes fuscatus (common paper wasp)
Lineage: Eukaryota; Metazoa; Arthropoda; Insecta; Hymenoptera; Vespidae
Description: uncharacterized LOC122518950
Source: RNAcentral